Molecule: ribosomal RNA, 490 nt
Filed under: uncultured bacterium
Lineage: Bacteria
Description: partial 16S ribosomal RNA
Rfam family: Bacterial small subunit ribosomal RNA
Source: RNAcentral
AUUGAACGCUGGCGGCAUGCCUUACACAUGCAAGUCGAACGGCAGCAUGAUCUAGCUUGCUAGAUUGAUGGCGAGUGGCGAACGGGUGAGUAAUACAUCGGAACGUGCCCUGUAGUGGGGGAUAACUAGUCGAAAGAUUAGCUAAUACCGCAUACGACCUGAGGGUGAAAGUGGGGGACCGCAAGGCCUCAUGCUAUAGGAGCGGCCGAUGUCUGAUUAGCUAGUUGGUGAGGUAAAGGCUCACCAAGGCGGCGAUCAGUAGCUGGUCUGAGAGGACGAUCAGCCACACUGGGACUGAGACACGGCCCAGACUCCUACGGGAGGCAGCAGUGGGGAAUUUUGGACAAUGGGCGAAAGCCUGAUCCAGCAAUGCCGCGUGUGUGAAGAAGGCCUUCGGGUUGUAAAGCACUUUUGUCCGGAAAGAAAUGGCUCUGGUUAAUACCUGGGGUCGAUGACGGUACCGGAAGAAUAAGGACCGGCUAACUACGUG